RNAcentral lists this transfer RNA (72 nucleotides) under Dactylellina haptotyla CBS 200.50. RNAcentral describes it as "tRNA-Gln (CTG) (tRNA-Gln-CTG-1-1)". It matches the Rfam family "tRNA". From Rfam's summary of the family: Transfer RNA (tRNA) molecules are approximately 80 nucleotides in length. Their secondary structure includes four short double-helical elements and three loops (D, anti-codon, and T loops). Lineage: Eukaryota; Fungi; Ascomycota; Orbiliomycetes; Orbiliales; Orbiliaceae. The record is from RNAcentral.
GGUUGUAUGGUGUAGUGGUUAGCACUUCGGAUUCUGAUUCCGGCGACUUGGGUUCAAUUCCCAAUACGACCU